Long non-coding RNA from Phragmites australis (common reed), 1152 nucleotides. RefSeq lists it as uncharacterized. The transcript is spliced from 2 exons. NCBI's taxonomy places the organism in Eukaryota, Viridiplantae, Streptophyta, Magnoliopsida, Poales, Poaceae. The record is from RefSeq and is a predicted model, not a curated record.
GCGCGCCGCUGGCACUCGCCGCCGUGCGCUGCUGCUGAGUGCGCGCCGCUGUCGUGCGCCGUCGUCGCUGCCGCGAGCCGCCGUGUGCCUGCGAGCCGGGCCGCCGCCGUUGCUCUCUCUGUGUCGCUGCUAGCUGCUGCACAGAAGAAGCAAGCAAGAACUAGCAAAGAAGAAAGCCAGGGAAGAAGAGAGAAAAGAAAAAAGGAGAAGAGAAAAGAAAAGAAGAAGAGAAGAAGAAAGAAGAAAGAAGAAAGAAGAAAGAAAAGAGCCGGCCGGGAGAGAAGCCAGGAAGAAGAAGGAAGAAAGGAAAAAAAAAAGAGAAAAGGAAAGAGAAAAGAAAAAAAAAAAGGAAAAGUUGGAAAUUUCGGGAUUUCGUCGGAUUCGUCAUCAAUCUUUCGAAGGCGAUUUCUCAGUAAUUUCUGGAUAUUUGUGAUUUGAUUAAAUCAAAUCAAUCAAUUCCUGUCGUAUUAUUUCAUGUGAUCAAUAGUCUGUUUCGUUUCGAUAAUCAUUAUUGAUUCGAAGAUACGAUAUCCGAGUCGAAGUAUUUAUUUCGAUCAUCAGAGCGAAGUCUAAUUAGUGAGAUUUUAGUUCGACUCUGAAUUGAAAAUAGUGUAUCAUUUCAUGUGAUACAAUUGUCUGUUCAGUUUUUCGGAAUGUAGGCGUAUACGUGACGUUUUCAGACGUAGAAUUGACGCUUCAUAUUUUAUGUGUUUUAAAUGUGUUUUAGUUCUAAUAGUAUGCCUGUACAGGUGGUACUAUUUCCGGACGUUCUUGAUCGAAUUUUCUUCAUCGUCGGUAAAGGCAAGUGAAUGUAUUGUAUGACUAUGCUUUAACCUAAUAUUGGGUUGCCUACAUUCUUUAAUUACAGUGCAUUCAUCUAAUCUGAAUGACUGAUUCUGAGCUGUGUACUAUGUUGUUUACGUUUCCAGAAGUUUACUCGAUGAUUGAUUUAUGAAGUGCAGUAUGUUUAGAUGUUGACGUGCAUUUUGGGGAUGGAUCUUGGUAGCUGCACACACUACCUCAUCACCAUGUUGAUAGCUCAACCGGUGUUAUAAAUGGUGGUUUUGGUGGUCUGUCAUUUGCUUGGUUUAUGUCGUGGUACGACGCUGGUAGCGUCGUGAAGGUUUAUAUAUAUAUAUGCCGGUUAUGUCA